UCUCGGCUGCCAAAUGUUAAAAGAGGUUCAAGUACAUGAGAGCAAAAGUUGACAGUAUUGCAAGUUCAAGCUAUGUACUAACCUGUGGUAAGACGUUUCUUUUGGCCCCCUGAUAUGCCUCUCCUCAUCACAUCUCCUAUCAAUAUUUCUGCACAAAUGUCGAGUCCAAGAAUCUGCAUAUGCGACAGAAGGUAUAAGAACCAAACAAGAAGGGGCAAAUUUCCAGUCAGGCUAUUAAAGAGACUAUAAUACCUUCAAGAUGUAAUCUGUUUGCAGACUUCUUUCAAGUCCUUCCACAGAUAUUGCCUAGAGGAAAUAAAAAAGUUAUAGUCAAGUCAACCACAGAGCUUAAAGGAUAAGAGAGCGUUGGUGGAAUGUACUUUCAUGAAAAGAAAAUAAUUCCAUGAUACAUAUUUCUCAACGUGAGACAUUGAUUGGUUUAUGAAACCUACCUGUUCGGCUUCCAACACCUUGACAACGAGCUGAGAAGUCAACUGUCUCCCUCACUGUCAUCUCAGCAAUGUGCAGAUCAUAUUGACUUAUGUACGCAGAUGUUUUCUGAGGAACAAACUCGUCUAGUCUGUGCCCAUUGUAGGAUAUUUCACCUGAACACUGUGGAAACAGAAAAAAAGGAGGACCAAGCAACAGUGUUAACCUGCAAGAGAAAGAAGAUUUACUAUACACACUUGGAUGGUAUAAAGCUUUGUCCUAAACUUUGAGCUUCACCAGCUCCUGGAGAAAAGGCAAUACAACAGAAUUUCAAACUCAAACGCUUUGAAGCAAUCACAGAAUCAAGGUAACAACAGCUGGAGAAUAUACUUACAGACAAAACACGCUUAGCAGUGUUCCACAGUGUUGGAAGUGCCUUCCCUUCAACAAUCUCGCACUCUGCCUCCACUUUUAAACCCUCAUACCUCACUUCUAUGGUCGGUAACUCCAUUCCAACUCUGCGCAACACAGUUUUAACCUUCAAAGUUUCAAACCUUUUUGAAUCCGAAAGGAUGACGUUCCAUAGCUCCAAGCUUCGUGACAUCAACGACUCUUUUCCCUUUCUCGACCAUGGACUCAUCACCAUCAUCAAGUAGAGUCGAUCUCAUGCGUUUCACGGUUGGCAAUCUCUCGAUCUCAGCCCACUGCAGAGCAUACUCUGCAUUAGUAUCAUUGCCCUCGCCAUCAUGAUCAGGUUCAUAUCUUGAAGAGCCGCUUCUGAAACUCGAGGUGUGUCUAUGGAACGAUGAUCUGAUGCUUCUUCCAAUCUCCGCAAGCUCCACUCUCAACGACUCAAUCUCGUCUGCUCCAGCCAUAUUAGCCAUGGCUGUGGCUUAAUGAGUUUGAGCUCUCUGAAUAUCAGAAAUUUCAAAAGUCUUAUUGAGAGAUAAGCCUAAUGCUUUGACUUGGAGAUAUAUAUAGUUAUACUUUUAUGCAUUGUUCAAACUGACACGUUUCAAUGAUGUAAGUGAAUACAUCAUCUUUUCGAAUACAUCAGCUUUUCUUAUGAGUU
This is a long non-coding RNA of Raphanus sativus (radish), 1501 nucleotides long. RefSeq lists it as uncharacterized. The transcript is spliced from 5 exons. NCBI's taxonomy places the organism in Eukaryota, Viridiplantae, Streptophyta, Magnoliopsida, Brassicales, Brassicaceae. The record is from RefSeq and is a predicted model, not a curated record.